RNAcentral lists this ribosomal RNA (496 nucleotides) under uncultured bacterium. Its description in RNAcentral is "partial 16S ribosomal RNA". It matches the Rfam family "Bacterial small subunit ribosomal RNA", at positions 30 to 523 of the family's 1533-position model. The record is from RNAcentral.
AUUGAACGCUGGCGGCAUGCUUUACACAUGCAAGUCGAACGGUAGAGGGGGCAACCCCUUGAGAGUGGCGAACGGGUGAGUAAUGCAUCGGAACGUGCCCAGUCGGGGGGGAUACCGCAGCGAAAGCUGUCCUAAUACCGCAUACUCUCUCUGGAUGAAAGCGGGGCACCGAAAGGCCUCGCGCGAGUGGCAGGGCCGAUGUCAGAUUAGGUAGUUGGUGGGGUAAAGGCUCACCAAGCCAACGAUCUGUAGCUGGUCUGAGAGGACGACCAGCCACACUGGGACUGAGACACGGCCCAGACUCCUACGGGAGGCAGCAGUGGGGAAUUUUGGACAAUGGGCGCAAGCCUGAUCCAGCAAUGCCGCGUGCAGGAAGAAGGCCUUCGGGUUGUAAACUGCUUUUGUACGGGACGAAAAGGUCUGGGUUAAUACCCUGGGCACAUGACGGUACCGUAAGAAUAAGCACCGGCUAACUACGUGCCAGCCGCCGCUGUAA